RNAcentral lists this long non-coding RNA (1706 nucleotides) under Homo sapiens (human). Its description in RNAcentral is "HSALNT0364211". The record is from RNAcentral. Lineage: Eukaryota; Metazoa; Chordata; Mammalia; Primates; Hominidae.
UAUAGUCUAUAAGCCAAGAAUGUUUUUCACAUUUUCAGUUUGUGGAAAGAAAAAUCAGAAAAGAAUACUGUUUUGUAUGAAACUUUUAUAUAAAAGUUACAUGAAAUUCAAAUUUCAUGACCACAAAUAGUUUUACUGAAUCACAGCUACAUCCAUUUAUGUAUUUAUGUAUUGUCUAUGGCUGCUUUUGCACUACAAUGGCAAAGUUGACUAUUUCAAUAAAGAUUGUAUGCCCUAUAAAAUAUAAAAUGCUUAGUAUCUGGCCCUUGACAAAACAAGUUUGCUGGCCCCUUGUGUAUAUGACUGGAGUCUACUGGACAUGUGCACGUUGCAGCUUGCAUGGCUCUAAGUCAUGGUUCCAAUAACAAUCCUAUCUGGAAAUGUAGGUUCAGAGAGGUUGUCACUUCUCCAUGCACUUAGGAAAUGGCAGAAUCAGAGGUUUUUAGGAUAAAUUUUUAAGGCUGAAAUAUGCACUUGAUCUCACCUAGAGUUCAGGACACUUUUCUCUUCUGGCCUCUUCUGGCUAUGUAACUUAACUAGCCACACGUAAUAUAACUUCCCCACUGCCUCCACUGUCUUCUCUGUACUCUCCUAUCUAGCUUUUAAUAUAUUUAUGGCUAAGGACAGGGUAGGGUGGGGAACAGGUCAAUGGAACAAAAGUACAAUUCACUCAUUCACAAUACUUUUCAUUCUCCCUCUUCGAGUCUCUCAAAUACACACUUGGCCCCUGCGUAUGAGGCUCUGCUGUCUCUGGCUGAGCUGAAAGUGAUGAAAAGGACGUGUGAUGGAAUGCUGGAAACCUCAUUACUGGCUCUUUGCCUACAGAAACUCAGCCAGCUUAUCUUCUUUCCCAACGAACUUCAAACUUACACUGGCUCAGCUGGUUCUAGGUGCCUGUAACAAGCUGCUCUGCCCAGUGGAGAUCAGAAGCCGAUAGAAGAUACUCUGCAUAUGCUUUGCUGUCCUGGAGAAUAUGUUCCCUUUUUUCUCAUUCUCAUUGUAGCAGAUUCUCCAAGGGUCUCGGCCACUCCUGGGUUGUAACGUGGAUACCGAAAAGUGCAAGUUACAAUAAUUUUUUCCUGGACGGUAUCCAGAAGACCAGACAUGUGAACAUAAUUUCUGUGGCUGCCCAAUUAUAGUUAGAACUUCACUUCUAAGCAAGGACAACUACACUGGCAGGACAUGGACUACGUAAAGUUGUGAGAAGAGCUUUCACAUAUGUUAAUCUCAUUGACUCCUCCCCGCAAACAGGAAUUUGUUAUUCCCAUUUUAUAGAUAAAGAUGCUGGGACUCAAGAGGAACUAAGCAGUGUAUAUUUUUCAUGUAUCCGCUUGAUGCAAUGAAUCUUUUGGCUUCAGAGCUACAUGUUGAAGAUGAAGGAGCCAUAGUGUGGAAAAGCCAAAGUUCCUGAAUCACUGACCAGGGGAGAGUUGCCCAUUAGCCAAGAAGACCGGCUUUAGACUUUCUGAGAAAAGGGUUUGCUGUCAAAAGGAAAAGCUCUGAGUCAUUCUUUAGAAAAGGUGAAGAGAGGAUAUGCAACCACAAGCCAAAGGUGACAGAUCGGAAAGGGACCAAUCACUGGGAGCAGGGUUUCUCGGGUUUGUGAGCCCCUUCCCUCAUGCAAUUGUGUCAAAUUGGGCCAAAAAUGCCUUCUGUAUCUUUCUCACAGAGGAGUGCUGUAAAACCCAAAGGGCAUGUAAAAUGAA